RNAcentral lists this ribosomal RNA (465 nucleotides) under uncultured Neisseria sp. RNAcentral's name for it is "bacterial SSU rRNA". It matches the Rfam family "Bacterial small subunit ribosomal RNA", at positions 24 to 478 of the family's 1533-position model. Lineage: Bacteria; Pseudomonadati; Pseudomonadota; Betaproteobacteria; Neisseriales; Neisseriaceae. The record is from RNAcentral.
UCAGAUUGAACGCUGGCGGCAUGCUUUACACAUGCAAGUCGAACGGCAGCACGAAAGAGCUUGCUCUUUUGGUGGCGAGUGGCGAACGGGUGAGUAAUACAUUGGAACGUACCGAGUAAUGGGGGAUAACUGUCCGAAAGGAUGGCUAAUACCGCAUACGCUCUGAGGAGGAAAGCGGGGGACCUUCGGGCCUCGCGUUAUUCGAGCGGCCAAUGUCUGAUUAGCUAGUUGGUGGGGUAAAGGCCUACCAAGGCGACGAUCAGUAGUGGGUCUGAGAGGAUGAUCCGCCACACUGGGACUGAGACACGGCCCAGACUCCUACGGGAGGCAGCAGUGGGGAAUUUUGGACAAUGGGCGAAAGCCUGAUCCAGCCAUGCCGCGUGUCUGAAGAAGGCCUUCGGGUUGUAAAGGACUUUUGUCAGGGAAGAAAGGGUUUGGGUUAAUACCCUGAGCUUAUGACGGUAC